UGCUUGCUUGUUACUUUUGUUUGUGAAAGC
This 30-nucleotide non-coding RNA is filed under the name Mus musculus (house mouse). The record is from RNAcentral. Lineage: Eukaryota; Metazoa; Chordata; Mammalia; Rodentia; Muridae.